Molecule: ribosomal RNA, 501 nt
Filed under: uncultured bacterium
Lineage: Bacteria
Description: bacterial SSU rRNA
Rfam family: Bacterial small subunit ribosomal RNA
Source: RNAcentral
ACGACGCUGGCGGCGUGCUUAACACAUGCAAGUCGAACGGAGAAUUUAUUUCGGUAAAUUCUUAGUGGCGAACGGGUGAGUAACGCGUGGGCAACCUGCCCUUCAGAUGGGGACAACAUUCCGAAAGGGGUGCUAAUACCGAAUACGAUCACGCUGCCGCAUGGCGGUGUGAUGAAAGAUGGCCUCUAUUUAUAAGCUAUCGCUGAAGGAUGGGCCUGCGUCUGAUUAGCUAGUUGGUGGGGUAACGGCCUACCAAGGCGAUGAUCAGUAGCCGGUCUGAGAGGAUGAACGGCCACAUUGGGACUGAGACACGGCCCAAACUCCUACGGGAGGCAGCAGGUGGGGAAUAUUCCGCAAUGGACGAAAGUCUGACGGAGCAACGCCGCGUGAGUGAUGAAGGUUUUCGGACUGUAAAACUCUGUUGUUUAGGACGAAAGUGCCUGUUGCAAAUAGUUGCAGGUAUUGACGGUACUGAACGAGGAAGCCACGGCUAACUACGUG